GAUGAACGCUGGCGGCGUGCCUAAUACAUGCAAGUCGAGCGAACAGACGAGGAGUUUGCUCCUCUGACGUUAGCGGCGGACGGGUGAGUAACACGUCCAUAACCUACCUAUAAGACUGGGAUAACUUCGGGAAACCGUCGCUAAUACCCGAGAAUAUAUUCAACCGCAUGGAUCAAUAGUGAAAGACGGUUUUGCUGUUACUUAUAGAUGGAUCCGCGCCGCAUUAGCUAGUUGGUAAGGUAACGGCUUACCAAGGCAACGAUGCGUAGCCGACCUGAGAGGGUGAUCGCCCACACUGGAACUGAGACACGGUCCAGACUCCUACGGGAGGCAGCAGUAGGGAAUCUGCCGCAAUGGGCGAGAGCCUGACCGAGCAACGCCGCGGGAGUGAAGAAGAUGUUCGGGCUGUAAAACUCUGUAAUUAGGGAAGAACAAAUGUGUAAGUAGCUGUUGACGUCUUGACGGUACCUAGUCAGAAAGCCACGGCUAACUACGUG
RNAcentral lists this ribosomal RNA (497 nucleotides) under uncultured bacterium. RNAcentral's name for it is "partial 16S ribosomal RNA". It matches the Rfam family "Bacterial small subunit ribosomal RNA", at positions 28 to 507 of the family's 1533-position model. The record is from RNAcentral.